RNAcentral lists this ribosomal RNA (388 nucleotides) under uncultured bacterium. Its description in RNAcentral is "bacterial SSU rRNA". It matches the Rfam family "Bacterial small subunit ribosomal RNA", at positions 28 to 417 of the family's 1533-position model. The record is from RNAcentral.
GACGAACGCUGGCGGCGUGCUUAACACAUGCAAGUCGAGCGGUAAGGCCCUUUCGGGGGUACACGAGCGGCGAACGGGUGAGUAACACGUGGGUGACCUGCCCUCAGCUCUGGGAUAAGCCUGGGAAACCGGGUCUAAUACCGGAUAUGACUCCAUGACGCAUGUUGUGGGGUGGAAAGCCUUGUGCGGCUGAGGAUGGGCCCGCGGCCUAUCAGCUUGUUGGUGGGGUGAUGGCCUACCAAGGCGACGACGGGUAGCCGGCCUGAGAGGGCGACCGGCCACACUGGGACUGAGACACGGCCCAGACUCCUACGGGAGGCAGCAGUGGGGAAUCUUGCGCAGUGGGCGAAAGCCUGACGCAGCGACGCCGCGUGAGGGAUGACGGCCU